Long non-coding RNA from Diachasma alloeum, 675 nucleotides. RefSeq lists it as uncharacterized. The record is from RefSeq and is a predicted model, not a curated record. Lineage: Eukaryota; Metazoa; Arthropoda; Insecta; Hymenoptera; Braconidae. The transcript is spliced from 2 exons.
UAUCAAGGUGUCGCAAUAACUGAAUGAAUCUAUCGAUUGUAGCGAUACUCGAGGGAUUCUAGAAUUUUCCAGAGUCGUUCUCAGAACUAGCGAGCAACACGAGUCGUGAAAUAAGAAAACCACUAUUUGUGUUCACAGAUGGUGUACAACUAUUCCGAAAAACUCGAUUCUCCUCUACGACACAACGAGCCUGGACAAGUGAGUGGCGCCAUACGCAGCUGGUGGUGACGGGUGGAACUUAAAAUGAUCGGCAGAAAACAAAUGACAGCAGCAGAAUGAAGACGUUUAUCCAGUAAAAAACGAUUGUUUUCGACAAUUCUAGUAGAAAAUUGCCUAAAAAAUCACAAUUUUCAGCAGUUAAUGAGUACAACGAGAUGGCGAAUGAAUCCAUAGCCUCUUCAGCCUCGUUUUUCGAGCCCUCGAUGAAAUAUUCAGAGGAAAAUACUCACAUGCUUUACCAACAUGUGAAGAUGAACCUUCAAGAGAUCCAUAAAAUGGCCACUGACAUCAACGACAACAUGAAGAAUAUCAAGAAGAACAUGUUCGUCACGAUGAAGCUCUUGAACGCCCUCAAGCCUCGUAAUGAAGAAAAAAAUGAUUGAUCGAGUGUUUUCACAGUAUUUUAUUCGUUGAAGUACAUAAUAAAUGGGAAAUAAAAAUAUUUUUUAAAGAGAA